This 499-nucleotide ribosomal RNA is filed under the name uncultured bacterium. RNAcentral describes it as "partial 16S ribosomal RNA". It matches the Rfam family "Bacterial small subunit ribosomal RNA", at positions 38 to 507 of the family's 1533-position model. The record is from RNAcentral.
GGGGGGGGGGGGGGGGGGGGGGGGGGGGGGGGGGGCGGGCGGAGGGGGGCGGGGGCUGGCGCCGGAAACGGUUGGCGGCGGACGGGGGAGUGACACGUAAGGGCCCUGCCUCAUAGGCUGGGACGACUGUUGGCAGCGCUAGCUAAUCCCGGCUCACAGCAUUACCUGCAUGGUUGAUGUUUAACAGGUGGUUUUGCUCACCCUCUGCGAUUGCUUUGCGGUGCCUUCGCUAGUUGGGGGGGUAAAGGCCUACCAAGGCGACGAUGCAUAGCCGACCUGAGAGGGUGAUCGGCCACACUGGGACUGAGACACGGCCCAGACUCCUACGGGAGGCAGCAGUAGGGAAUCUUCCGCAAUGGGCGAAAGCCUGACGGAGCAACGCCGCGUGAGUGAAGAAGGAUUUCGGUUCGUAAAGCUCUGUUGUUAGGGAAGAAUGAGUGUGUAGUAACUAUACACAGUAGAGACGGUACCUAACCAGAAAGCCACGGCUAACUACGUG